RNAcentral lists this transfer RNA (65 nucleotides) under Margattea bisignata. RNAcentral's name for it is "tRNA-Phe". Lineage: Eukaryota; Metazoa; Arthropoda; Insecta; Blattodea; Pseudophyllodromiidae. The record is from RNAcentral.
ACUUAAAUAGCUUAUGUAGAGUAAAACAUUGAAGAUGUUUGGGAGGUUGAAAGAAUCUUUAGGUA